GAUGAAGAACGUAGCGAAAUGUGAUACUUGGUGUGAAUUGCAGAAUCCCGCGAAUCAUCGAGUUUUUGAACGCAAGUUGCGCCCGAAGCCAUUCGGCCGAGGGCACGUCUGCCUGGGUGUCACGCAUCGUUGCCCCCCCAAACUCCGGUUCGGGCGGGGCGGAAGUUGGCCUCCCGUGCGUGCCUGCGCGCGCGGUUAGCCCAAAAGCGAGUCCUCGGCGACGAGCGCCACGACAAUCGGUGGUUUUUUUACCCUCGUUCCUCGUCGUGCGUGUCCCGUCGCCCGAACGCGCUCUUGCGACCCUCACGCGUCGCCUCGGCGGCGCUCCCAACGCGACCCCAGGUCAGGCGGGACUACCCGCUGAGUUUAAGCAUAUCAAUAAGCGGAGGA
RNAcentral lists this unclassified non-coding RNA (390 nucleotides) under soil metagenome. RNAcentral describes it as "partial contains 5.8S ribosomal RNA, internal transcribed spacer 2, and large subunit ribosomal RNA". The stretch from base 1 to 122 matches the Rfam family "5.8S ribosomal RNA", at positions 35 to 154 of the family's 154-position model. The record is from RNAcentral.